This 74-nucleotide transfer RNA is filed under the name Corydalis casimiriana subsp. brachycarpa. RNAcentral's name for it is "tRNA-Val". It matches the Rfam family "tRNA". From Rfam's summary of the family: Transfer RNA (tRNA) molecules are approximately 80 nucleotides in length. Their secondary structure includes four short double-helical elements and three loops (D, anti-codon, and T loops). The record is from RNAcentral. Lineage: Eukaryota; Viridiplantae; Streptophyta; Magnoliopsida; Ranunculales; Papaveraceae.
AGGGGUAUAGCUCAGUUAGGUAGAGCACCUCGUUUCCACCGAUAAAGUCUACGGUUCGAAUCCCUAUAGCCCUA